Molecule: long non-coding RNA, 327 nt
Filed under: Homo sapiens (human)
Lineage: Eukaryota; Metazoa; Chordata; Mammalia; Primates; Hominidae
Description: HSALNT0151184
Source: RNAcentral
CUUCGGACUAUUCUCUAUCCCCAGUUGUCAAUUAACUAAAAUAUUAAAUGAGGAGAAAACCUGAUGUCUGAGCUGAAUCCUAAUCAUGAAGAUGUUUUUCCACCAUUCCUGUCUGUGUUUUUCUACCAUUCCUGUCUGUGUUUUUCUACCAAAGUGUGCUCUUGAAGUUCUGCAUUUCCCAGGGUAACACUGAAAGCUAACUACACUGGAACACUCUCAUUUCUGCAAAGAAAAAUAUCAUAUCCCAGGAUGAAAAGGAGGAGGAAGAGGAAAGGCUAACUUAACAAGAAGCUCUUUGACAUUCUUGAAUUAGACACCCAACGUAGU